GAUAUUGGACAAUGGGCGCAAGCCUGAUCCAGCCAUGCCGCGUGAGUGAUGAGGGGCCUCGGGUUGUCCCGCUCUUUCUAUGGGGAAGAUAAAGACGGUCACCGUAGAAGGAGCCCCGGCUACCUUCGUGCUAGCAGCCGCGGUAAUACGAAGGGGGCUAGCGUUGUUCGGAAUUACUGGGCGUAAAGCGCACGUAGGCGGAUCGAUCAGUUAGGGGUGAAAUCCCGGGGCUCAACCCCGGAACUGCCUCUAAUACUGUCGAUCUCGAGUUCGAGAGAGGUGAGUGGAAUUCCGGGUGUAGAGGUGAAAUUCGUAGAUAUUCGGAGGAACACCAGUGGCGAAGGCGGCUCACUGGCUCGAUACUGACGCUGAGGUGCGAAAGCGUGGGGAGCAAACA
RNAcentral lists this ribosomal RNA (397 nucleotides) under uncultured bacterium. RNAcentral's name for it is "partial 16S ribosomal RNA". It matches the Rfam family "Bacterial small subunit ribosomal RNA", at positions 359 to 774 of the family's 1533-position model. The record is from RNAcentral.